RNAcentral lists this ribosomal RNA (2902 nucleotides) under Escherichia coli 1303. Its description in RNAcentral is "bacterial LSU rRNA". It matches the Rfam family "Bacterial large subunit ribosomal RNA". Lineage: Bacteria; Pseudomonadati; Pseudomonadota; Gammaproteobacteria; Enterobacterales; Enterobacteriaceae. The record is from RNAcentral.
UUAAGCGACUAAGCGUACACGGUGGAUGCCCUGGCAGUCAGAGGCGAUGAAGGACGUGCUAAUCUGCGAUAAGCGUCGGUAAGGUGAUAUGAACCGUUAUAACCGGCGAUUUCCGAAUGGGGAAACCCAGUGUGAUUCGUCACACUAUCAUUAACUGAAUCCAUAGGUUAAUGAGGCGAACCGGGGGAACUGAAACAUCUAAGUACCCCGAGGAAAAGAAAUCAACCGAGAUUCCCCCAGUAGCGGCGAGCGAACGGGGAGGAGCCCAGAGCCUGAAUCAGUGUGUGUGUUAGUGGAAGCGUCUGGAAAGGCGCGCGAUACAGGGUGACAGCCCCGUACACAAAAAUGCACAUAUUGUGAGCUCGAUGAGUAGGGCGGGACACGUGGUAUCCUGUCUGAAUAUGGGGGGACCAUCCUCCAAGGCUAAAUACUCCUGACUGACCGAUAGUGAACCAGUACCGUGAGGGAAAGGCGAAAAGAACCCCGGCGAGGGGAGUGAAAAAGAACCUGAAACCGUGUACGUACAAGCAGUGGGAGCACGCUUCGGCGUGUGACUGCGUACCUUUUGUAUAAUGGGUCAGCGACUUAUAUUCUGUAGCAAGGUUAACCGAAUAGGGGAGCCGAAGGGAAACCGAGUCUUAACUGGGCGUUAAGUUGCAGGGUAUAGACCCGAAACCCGGUGAUCUAGCCAUGGGCAGGUUGAAGGUUGGGUAACACUAACUGGAGGACCGAACCGACUAAUGUUGAAAAAUUAGCGGAUGACUUGUGGCUGGGGGUGAAAGGCCAAUCAAACCGGGAGAUAGCUGGUUCUCCCCGAAAGCUAUUUAGGUAGCGCCUCGUGAAUUCAUCUCCGGGGGUAGAGCACUGUUUCGGCAAGGGGGUCAUCCCGACUUACCAACCCGAUGCAAACUGCGAAUACCGGAGAAUGUUAUCACGGGAGACACACGGCGGGUGCUAACGUCCGUCGUGAAGAGGGAAACAACCCAGACCGCCAGCUAAGGUCCCAAAGUCAUGGUUAAGUGGGAAACGAUGUGGGAAGGCCCAGACAGCCAGGAUGUUGGCUUAGAAGCAGCCAUCAUUUAAAGAAAGCGUAAUAGCUCACUGGUCGAGUCGGCCUGCGCGGAAGAUGUAACGGGGCUAAACCAUGCACCGAAGCUGCGGCAGCGACGCUGAUGCGUUGUUGGGUAGGGGAGCGUUCUGUAAGCCUGCGAAGGUGUGCUGUGAGGCAUGCUGGAGGUAUCAGAAGUGCGAAUGCUGACAUAAGUAACGAUAAAGCGGGUGAAAAGCCCGCUCGCCGGAAGACCAAGGGUUCCUGUCCAACGUUAAUCGGGGCAGGGUGAGUCGACCCCUAAGGCGAGGCCGAAAGGCGUAGUCGAUGGGAAACAGGUUAAUAUUCCUGUACUUGGUGUUACUGCGAAGGGGGGACGGAGAAGGCUAUGUUGGCCGGGCGACGGUUGUCCCGGUUUAAGCGUGUAGGCUGGUUUUCCAGGCAAAUCCGGAAAAUCAAGGCUGAGGCGUGAUGACGAGGCACUACGGUGCUGAAGCAACAAAUGCCCUGCUUCCAGGAAAAGCCUCUAAGCAUCAGGUAACAUCAAAUCGUACCCCAAACCGACACAGGUGGUCAGGUAGAGAAUACCAAGGCGCUUGAGAGAACUCGGGUGAAGGAACUAGGCAAAAUGGUGCCGUAACUUCGGGAGAAGGCACGCUGAUAUGUAGGUGAAGUCCCUCGCGGAUGGAGCUGAAAUCAGUCGAAGAUACCAGCUGGCUGCAACUGUUUAUUAAAAACACAGCACUGUGCAAACACGAAAGUGGACGUAUACGGUGUGACGCCUGCCCGGUGCCGGAAGGUUAAUUGAUGGGGUCAGCGCAAGCGAAGCUCUUGAUCGAAGCCCCGGUAAACGGCGGCCGUAACUAUAACGGUCCUAAGGUAGCGAAAUUCCUUGUCGGGUAAGUUCCGACCUGCACGAAUGGCGUAAUGAUGGCCAGGCUGUCUCCACCCGAGACUCAGUGAAAUUGAACUCGCUGUGAAGAUGCAGUGUACCCGCGGCAAGACGGAAAGACCCCGUGAACCUUUACUAUAGCUUGACACUGAACAUUGAGCCUUGAUGUGUAGGAUAGGUGGGAGGCUUUGAAGUGUGGACGCCAGUCUGCAUGGAGCCGACCUUGAAAUACCACCCUUUAAUGUUUGAUGUUCUAACGUUGACCCGUGAUCCGGGUUGCGGACAGUGUCUGGUGGGUAGUUUGACUGGGGCGGUCUCCUCCUAAAGAGUAACGGAGGAGCACGAAGGUUGGCUAAUCCUGGUCGGACAUCAGGAGGUUAGUGCAAUGGCAUAAGCCAGCUUGACUGCGAGCGUGACGGCGCGAGCAGGUGCGAAAGCAGGUCAUAGUGAUCCGGUGGUUCUGAAUGGAAGGGCCAUCGCUCAACGGAUAAAAGGUACUCCGGGGAUAACAGGCUGAUACCGCCCAAGAGUUCAUAUCGACGGCGGUGUUUGGCACCUCGAUGUCGGCUCAUCACAUCCUGGGGCUGAAGUAGGUCCCAAGGGUAUGGCUGUUCGCCAUUUAAAGUGGUACGCGAGCUGGGUUUAGAACGUCGUGAGACAGUUCGGUCCCUAUCUGCCGUGGGCGCUGGAGAACUGAGGGGGGCUGCUCCUAGUACGAGAGGACCGGAGUGGACGCAUCACUGGUGUUCGGGUUGUCAUGCCAAUGGCACUGCCCGGUAGCUAAAUGCGGAAGAGAUAAGUGCUGAAAGCAUCUAAGCACGAAACUUGCCCCGAGAUGAGUUCUCCCUGACCCUUUAAGGGUCCUGAAGGAACGUUGAAGACGACGACGUUGAUAGGCCGGGUGUGUAAGCGCAGCGAUGCGUUGAGCUAACCGGUACUAAUGAACCGUGAGGCUUAACCUU